UGGGGAAUAUUGGACAAUGGGCGAAAGCCUGAUCCAGCCAUGCCACGUGAGUGACGAAGGCCUUAGGGUUGUAAAGCUCUUUUGGCGGGGAAGAUAAUGACGGUACCCGCAGAAUAAGCUCCGGCUAACUUCGUGCCAGCAGCCGCGGUAAUACGAAGGGGGCUAGCGUUGUUCGGAAUUACUGGGCGUAAAGCGCACGUAGGCGGAUUUGUAAGUCAGGGGUGAAAUCCCGGGGCUCAACCUCGGAACUGCCUUUGAUACUGCAAGUCUCGAGUCCGAUAGAGGUGAGUGGAAUUCCUAGUGUAGAGGUGAAAUUCGUAGAUAUUAGGAAGAACACCAGUGGCGAAGGCGGCUCACUGGAUCGGUACUGACGCUGAGGUGCGAAAGCGUGGGGAGCAAACAGGAUUAGAUACCCCUGUAGUCCCUGAGCGGGCUGGCAAGGCGCAU
RNAcentral lists this ribosomal RNA (447 nucleotides) under uncultured bacterium. Its description in RNAcentral is "bacterial SSU rRNA". It matches the Rfam family "Bacterial small subunit ribosomal RNA", at positions 355 to 825 of the family's 1533-position model. The record is from RNAcentral.